GUCUGCAGCCAUACCACCCUGAACAUACCCAAUUGUGUCUGAUCUCGGAAGCUAAGUGGGGUUGGGCCUGGUUAGUACUUGGAUGAGAGAAAAAGGGUAUCUGCUUUCC
Molecule: ribosomal RNA, 109 nt
Organism: Fukomys damarensis (Damara mole-rat)
Lineage: Eukaryota; Metazoa; Chordata; Mammalia; Rodentia; Bathyergidae
Source: Ensembl